RNAcentral lists this transfer RNA (84 nucleotides) under Chitinophagales bacterium. RNAcentral's name for it is "tRNA-Leu". It matches the Rfam family "tRNA". From Rfam's summary of the family: Transfer RNA (tRNA) molecules are approximately 80 nucleotides in length. Their secondary structure includes four short double-helical elements and three loops (D, anti-codon, and T loops). The record is from RNAcentral. Lineage: Bacteria; Pseudomonadati; Bacteroidota; Chitinophagia; Chitinophagales.
GGCCACGUGUUGAAAUUGGUAGACAAGCUACUUUGAGGUGGUAGUGCCGGAAACGGUGUGCUGGUUCGAAUCCAGUCGUGGUCA